GGCCCUUCGGGGUACACGAGCGGCGAACGGGUGAGUAACACGUGGGUAACCUGCCCCGUACUCUGGGAUAAGCCUGGGAAACUAGGUCUAAUACCGGAUAUGACUCCGCAUCGCAUGGUGUGGGGUGGAAAGUUCCGGCGGUACGGGAUGGGCCCGCGGCCUAUCAGCUUGUUGGUGGGGUGAUGGCCUACCAAGGCGACGACGGGUAGCCGGCCUGAGAGGGUGACCGGCCACACUGGGACUGAGACACGGCCCAGACUCCUACGGGAGGCAGCAGUGGGGAAUAUUGCACAAUGGGCGAAAGCCUGAUGCAGCGACGCCGCGUGAGGGAUGACGGCCUUCGGGUUGUAAACCUCUUUCAGCAGGGACGAAGCGCGAGUGACGGUACCUGCAGAAGAAGCACCGGCUAACUACGUGCCAGCAGCCGCGGUAAUACGUAGGGUGCGAGCGUUGUCCGGAAUUAUUGGGCGUAAAGAGCUCGUAGGCGGUUUGUUGCGUCGGCCGUGAAAACUUCACGCUUAACGUGGAGCCUGCGGUCGAUACGGGCAGACUUGAGUUCGGCAGGGGAGACUGGAAUUCCUGGUGUAGCGGUGAAAUGCGCAGAUAUCAGGAGGAACACCGGUGGCGAAGGCGGGUCUCUGGGCCGAUACUGACGCUGAGGAGCGAAAGCGUGGGGAGCG
RNAcentral lists this ribosomal RNA (680 nucleotides) under Saccharothrix sp. Its description in RNAcentral is "bacterial SSU rRNA". It matches the Rfam family "Bacterial small subunit ribosomal RNA", at positions 74 to 770 of the family's 1533-position model. The record is from RNAcentral. Lineage: Bacteria; Bacillati; Actinomycetota; Actinomycetes; Pseudonocardiales; Pseudonocardiaceae.